This 587-nucleotide ribosomal RNA is filed under the name uncultured bacterium. RNAcentral's name for it is "partial 16S ribosomal RNA". It matches the Rfam family "Bacterial small subunit ribosomal RNA", at positions 355 to 1375 of the family's 1533-position model. The record is from RNAcentral.
UGGGGAAUUUUGGACAAUGGGCGAAAGCCUGAUCCAGCAAUGCCGCGUGUGUGAAGAAGGCCUUCGGGUUGUAAAGCACUUUUGUCCGGAAAGAAAUCCUUGGCUCUAAUACAGUCGGGGGAUGACGGUACCGGAAGAAUAAGCACCGGCUAACUACGUGCCAGCAGCCGCGGUAAUACGUAGGGUGCAAGCGUUAAUCGGAAUUACUGGGCGUAAAGCGUGCGCAGGCGGUUUGCUAAGACCGAUGUGAAAUCCCCGGGCUCAACCUGGGAACUGCAUUGGUGACUGGCAGGCUAGAGUAUGGCAGAGGGGGGUAGAAUUCCACGUGUAGCAGUGAAAUGCGUAGAGAUGUGGAGGAAUACCGAUGGCGAAGGCAGCCCCCUGGGCCAAUACUGACGCUCAUGCACGAAAGCGUGGGGAGCAAAACAGGAUUAGAUACCCCUGGUAGUCCACGCCCUAAACGAUGUCAACUAGUUGUUGGGGAUUCAUUUCCUUAGUAACGUAGCUAACGCGUGAAGUUGACCGCCUGGGGAGUACGGUCGCAAGAUUAAAACUCAAAGGAAUUGACGGGGUCAUAGCUGUUUCCU